UAAUACAUGCAAGUCGAACGGUAACAGGUCGCUGUGAUCCCUUCGGGGUGAACUUGAUGCUGACGAGUGGCGGACGGGUGAGUAAUGCUUGGGAAUCUGCCCAGCAGCGGGGGACAACUCGAAGAAAUUCGAGCUAAUACCGCAUACGCCCUACGGGGGAAAGGUGGGGACCUCUUCGGAGGCCUGCCACUGCUGGAUGAGCCUGCGUUGGAUUAGCUUGUUGGUGAGGUAAUGGCUCACCAAGGCGACGAUCCAUAGCUGGUCUGAGAGGAUGAUCAGCCACACUGGGACUGAGACACGGCCCAGACUCCUACGGGAGGCAGCAGUGGGGAAUAUUGGACAAUGGGCGCAAGCCUGAUCCAGCAAUGCCGCGUGUGUGAAGAAGGCCUUAGGGUUGUAAAGCACUUUCAAUUGGGAAGAAAGCAUCCGGUUAACUACCCAGGUGUCUUGACGGUACCUUUACAAGAAGCACCGGCUAACUCCGUG
RNAcentral lists this ribosomal RNA (486 nucleotides) under uncultured bacterium. RNAcentral's name for it is "bacterial SSU rRNA". It matches the Rfam family "Bacterial small subunit ribosomal RNA", at positions 49 to 507 of the family's 1533-position model. The record is from RNAcentral.